CCUACGGGCGGCAGCAGUGAGGAAUAUUGGUCAAUGGGCGCGAGCCUGAACCAGCCAAGUCGCGUGAAGGAAGACGGUCCUAUGGAUUGUAAACCUCUUUUGUCGGGGCGCAAAAGACGCCACGCGUGGCGUUCCGAGAGUACCCGAAGAAAAAGCAUCGGCUAACUCCGUGCCCGCAGCCGCGGUAAUACGGGGGAUGCGAGCGUUAUCCGGAUUUAUUGGGUUGAAAGGGUGCGCAGGCGGAAGAUCAAGUCAGCGGUAAAAUUGCGAGGGCCAACCUCUUCGAGCCGUUGAAACUGGUUUUCUUGAGUGAGUGAGAAGUAUGCGGAAUGCGUGGUGUAGCGGUGAAAUGCACAGAUAUCACGCAGAACUCCGAUUGCGAAGGCAGCAUACCGGCGCUCAACUGACGCGCAUGCACGAAAGUGUGGGUAUCGAACAGGAGUAGAUACCCGUGUAGUC
Molecule: ribosomal RNA, 459 nt
Filed under: uncultured bacterium
Lineage: Bacteria
Description: partial 16S ribosomal RNA
Rfam family: Bacterial small subunit ribosomal RNA
Source: RNAcentral